Long non-coding RNA from Helicoverpa armigera (cotton bollworm), 2342 nucleotides. RefSeq lists it as uncharacterized. The transcript has 2 exons. The record is from RefSeq and is a predicted model, not a curated record. NCBI's taxonomy places the organism in Eukaryota, Metazoa, Arthropoda, Insecta, Lepidoptera, Noctuidae.
GGGUCAUUUCGCCUGUUGGCGACCAUUUAGUGCAGUUGGCAAGUUUGACGGCGAUAAUAAAAAUGCUCCAGCACUCAUUUCCAUGUCAAAUUUGUGUAAUGUAUUCCUUAUAUACUCUAUUUUAAGAUUAACUUUCAGUUGUAUUAGAAAUAUCUUACGUUUUCUAUUUAAAUCGAUAAACCUCAAAAUUAGGCGUUUUACCCAGUUUGCGUCCACAAAAUCCAAUUCGCGUCCACCCAUGGUCCAGUUCGCGUCCAGUAGCUUAGAAAAGGAAUAUAGGGGUGAUUUUUUUAAGAAUUAAUAAAGAAAGAUUGUAUUAGAUCAAUUUCUUUAUUUAACAAUAAACUUAAUUAUUAAAAGUCAACAUUAUCAUCAUUUAAAAUUCACUUUAAAAAAUAAAAAUAAUUCUUCUCAACAUUGGUUUAAGUAACUUAAAAUAAGAUUAAACAGUAUUUUUUUUUAUUAAGAUAUACAGGGUGUUUGGCGCAUGGACCGACAAAAAUUUUUGGGGGAUUCGUGAGGCCAUGUACUAGUUUUCACUCAUAGACCCAAUGUCCUAUAUGUCACUGUAUUCGAGAUACGAUUUUUUUUGUUUGUUUUUAAAAAUUACCGGAACUAUCACCUUUAAAACGCUAUAACUUUUCAGUCUGUUGUCGAAUUUACACCAAAUCACUUUCAUUGCGUUCUCUGAUGUAUUAUUAUUCCAAAUAAAACAUAAAUUCAUAGCACUAGAUGGAAAAAAAAUACUUGUUGAGCUUCCAAACUCUUAAAAAUGAAAAAACGUAUGAAAAAUGUCAAAUUCAAAAUUAAUUAUAAAAAAAAGUAAAAGCUUUUAUGAACUUCGUUUAAUAAAAAAAAAUUGCCUACUUAAUACCCUUUCCAACGAUAUGCCACAUGGGUGUGAAAUCAUUAAUAAUGUCGUCAAAAUCAGAGCAGGAACGAACACGCACUCUAACGUCUCUAACAACGAACCCGUUUGAUAGAACAAUGGUAAGCAGGUAAUUGGCAGGUAAACUGCCUGUCUCUUUCUUACGCAUGAAAAAUAUCUCUUGUCUUUGUCUAUCAUUGGGUUGGAGUUUGUUAUGUGAUCCUUGUUUAGUCGAGAUUUGACUAUCUCUGCUAUCGGAAGUGUCCGUGUAUUUCACGUUUUCCUAUUUCGUUGUUUUUUGUUAAAGUUUGUUUUUGUUAAGUUUUGUUUGUUGAACUUUUCUGUUAAACUGUUGGUGUAUUCACCGUGCUUGUUACAAUGCCUAACUUCAGCAACGAAGAGUAUGCUGACAUGUUGUUGGCAUAUGGCAGCGCUAAUUGUAACGCUCGUGAAGCGCGUAGAAUUUACCAGCAGCGUUAUCCUAACCGGCGUAUACCACACCACGAGACGUUUGCUACAACCUAUCGACGUCUGAGGGAGACUGGAAACAUAAAUUUCCAAGAGCCUCGCGUUAAUGUGAGGCAACAUAAUGUUGUAAUUGAUGAAAGCAUUUUGCAAGCUUUUGAUGAGGAUCCAACGACAAGUAUUCGAGUUGUAGCUGAAAGACUUCACUUGUCGGUUUGGAAAGUUUGGUCAGUUCUUCGGGAAAAUGGAAAGCAUGCGUAUCACUACACUUCUGUUCAAGGUCUCAUAGAUGAUGAUCACAGGAGACGGCUCGAUUUUUGCCGAUUUAUGAUGCAUACGGACGUAGAUGAUACAAAUUUUUUAAAAAGAAUUUUGUGGACUGAUGAAUCCAAUUUUAAUCACGAGGGAAUUGUGAAUCUCCACAACCUUCACCAUUGGGCGCAAAAAAGACAAAAUCCCCGCAAGAAAAGACAAAGUUCCUUUCAAACUAAGUUUAGUGUAAACGUUUGGGCGGGGUUAUUGGAAGACACCUGAUCGGUCCACAUUUCUUACCAGAGCGCCUGACCGGAGAAAAUUAUUUGAAUUUUUUACUCGAAGAUUUACCUGAAUUGGUAUUACCAGUAUUAGAUGGAGAACCAAUUAUUUUCCAAAAUGAUGGCUGUCCAGCACAUUACCAGCGAGACGUGCGAGAACAUUUGGACAACUGUUUUCCAAAUUCAUGGAUCGGAAGAGGCGGCCCAAUUCCUUGGCCUGCACGUUCACCAGACCUGACGCCCUUGGAUUUUUAUGUCUGGGGCCGUGCAAAAGAAAUUGUGUAUGCGACUGAAGUACCCACAAGAGAAAUUUUAAUCGAAAGAAUAAAUUGCGCCUUUGAAAUUAUGAAAGCAGAAAUGCGACUGAGGACGACGACUGUAGAAAUUAGAAAAAGAUGCCGUGCAUGCAUUCGCAACAGAGGCAGUCAUUUUGAACAUAAUUUAUAACUUAAAUUUAAUUAAAACAUUUUAAAACA